This 217-nucleotide unclassified non-coding RNA is filed under the name plant metagenome. RNAcentral describes it as "partial contains small subunit ribosomal RNA, internal transcribed spacer 1, and 5.8S ribosomal RNA". The record is from RNAcentral.
UCUCCGUAGGUGAACCCGCGGAGGGAUCAUUACAAGUAACCCCGGUCUUACCACCGGGAUGUUCAUAACCCUUUGUUGUCCGACUCUGUUGCCUCCGGGGCGACCCUGCCUUCGGGCGGGGGCUCCGGGUGGACACUUCAAACUCUUGCGUAACUUUGCAGUCUGAGUAAACUUAAUUAAUAAAUUAAAACUUUUAACAACGGAUCUCUUGGUUCUG